RNAcentral lists this small RNA (100 nucleotides) under Paenibacillus sp. RNAcentral's name for it is "Guanidine-I sequence". It matches the Rfam family "Guanidine-I riboswitch aptamer". From Rfam's summary of the family: This family represents a conserved RNA structure found upstream of the ykkC and yxkD genes in Bacillus subtilis and related genes in other bacteria. The function of this family is unclear although it has been suggested that it may function to switch on efflux pumps and detoxification systems in response to harmful environmental molecules. Nelson showed that this riboswitch senses and responds to guanidine and it was renamed Guanidine-I riboswitch. RNAcentral also lists the same sequence under 1 other name. Lineage: Bacteria; Bacillati; Bacillota; Bacilli; Caryophanales; Paenibacillaceae. The record is from RNAcentral.
UUAAAUGUUUUCUAGGGUUCCGCAACAAGUCUGUUGGUCUGGUCCGAGAGAAAACUCACAGCUUUUUGCUGUGUCACGGAAGGAUAAAAGCCUGGGAGAA